GGAGCACCUAGCAACAACCGGAAAGAGGAGCACAGGAUAAAGUUGACUGUUGAUCCCUAGUUGAUGGCCUAUAUUCCACUAGUGGUAACAGGCUUAGGUAAGUA
Molecule: microRNA precursor, 104 nt
Filed under: Schistosoma mansoni
Lineage: Eukaryota; Metazoa; Platyhelminthes; Trematoda; Strigeidida; Schistosomatidae
Description: microRNA sma-mir-8476 precursor
Source: miRBase by way of RNAcentral